Molecule: small RNA, 167 nt
Filed under: Chrysemys picta bellii (western painted turtle)
Lineage: Eukaryota; Metazoa; Chordata; Testudines; Emydidae
Description: TUC338 (ENSCPBG00000010204.1)
Source: RNAcentral
UGAAAGGUGCCAGAUUAACUGAAAGUCUGUGUUUACCCAAGAACAAGUGAAACACAAACAGUGGAAAUAAAAGCUUUAUCACACUGCCUUGUCCAGGGCUCAGCUCUGAGCUCUCUAUACUGUGAGAGGGUAGUUCAUGCUCCAUGGCCCAUUAAAUCUUGGCCUCU